UACGAAAGAGGGAACCACGUGAACUGAAACAUCUAAGUAACGUGAGGAAAAGAAAGUAAAAACGAUACCCAAAGUAGCGGCGAGCGAACUGGGUCAAGCCUAAACCUUAAAUAUGUCAAGGAUACAGCCGUUGUAUUUAAGGGGUUGAGGGACAAAGUAGUGAAGAACUGUAAGAUAUUCAAUAUAGUGUAUUGAUGAAUUAGAAUUGUAUGGAAAGAUAAACCGCAGAAGGUGAGAGUCCUGUAUAAGUAAAUCCUUACACAUAUAACUUUGCUCCCAAGUAACAUGGAACACGAGGAAUUCUGUGUGAAUCAGUGAGGACCAUAUCUCAUAAGGCUAAAUACUCUUACUAACCGAUAGCGCAUAGUACCGUGAGGGAAAGGUGAAAAGAACCCCUGGAGGGGAGUGAAAUAGAACCUGAAAUUGUGUGCUUACAAGCGGUCAGAGCCCAUUUGGGUGAUGGCGUGCCUUUUGGAGAAUGAUCCUGCGAGUUACGUUAAACGGCGAGGUUAAGUAUAACGGAGCCGAAGGGAAACCAAGUCUUAAUAGGGCGAUAUAGUCGUUUGGCGUAGACGCGAAACCUGGUGAUCUAAACCUGUCCAGGAUGAAGCUGUGGUAAGACACAGUGGAGGUCCUAACCCACCGCCGUUGAAAAGUUGGGGGAUGAGGUAGGUUUAGGGGUGAAAAGCCAAUCGAACCAGGAGAUAGCUCGUUCUCUCCGAAAUGCAUCUAGGUGCAGCCUUGAGUGUUCAAUUAUGGGGGUAGAGCACUGAAUGAUCUAGGGGGCAUAUUGCUUACUGAAAUCAAUCAAACUCCAAAUACCAUAAUUUAUAGCUCAGGAGUGAGACCAUGGGAGUUAACUUCCAUUGUCAAAAGGGAAACAACCCAGACCACCAGCUAAGGUCCCUAAUUAUAACUAAGUGGGAAAGGAGGUGGAGAUUCACAAACAACUAGGAGGUUGGCUUAGAAGCAGCCAUACCUUUAAAGAGUGCGUAAUAGCUCACUAGUCGAGAGUCUCUGCGCCGACAAUGUAACGGGGCUAAGUUAUAAACCGAAGCUGUGGAAUCCUUAUGGAUUGGUAGGAGAGCGUUCUGUAGGCUGUUGAAGAAGAAGGGUAACCAACUUUGGAGGUAUCAGAAGUGAGAAUGCAGGAAUAAGUAGCGAGAAAGGGGGCGAGAAUCCCCCUCGCCGGAAGACCAAGGUUUUCAGGGUAAAGCUUGUCUUCCCUGAGUAAGCCGGGACCUAAGCCCAGGCUAUAACGCGUAGGCGAAUGGAAAACAGAUUAAUAUUUCUGUGCCAGUCAUUUAUUGUGAUGGAGGGACGCAGAAGGGUAUGUGCGCGGACGAUUGGUUGUGUCCGUAGAAGUAUGUAGGGUGACUUAGUAGGUAAAUCCAUUAAGUUAUAUCUGAGGUAUGAUAUACAGUCGUAAGAUGAAUGUACAAAUCCCACGCUGCCAAGAAAAACUUCUAACGUUAAUAUUUGACUGCCCGUACUGUAAACCGACACAGGUGGUCAGGAUGAGAAAUCUAAGGCGGACAGGCUAACUCUCGUUAAGGAACUCUGCAAAAUAACCUCGUAACUUCGGGAGAAGAGGAGCCCUUGUGUGUAAGUAUACACGCGAUACAAAGCGCACGAGGGUCGCAGUGAAGAGGCUCAAGCAACUGUUUAACAAAAACACAGGUCUAUGCUAAGCUGUAAGGCGAUGUAUAUGGGCUGACACCUGCCCAGUGCUGGAAGGUUAAGAGGAGGAGUGAGAGCUCCGAAUUGAAGCCCCAGUGAACGGCGGCCGUAACUAUAACGGUCCUAAGGUAGCGAAAUUCCUUGUCAGGUAAG
RNAcentral lists this ribosomal RNA (1833 nucleotides) under human gut metagenome. Its description in RNAcentral is "bacterial LSU rRNA". It matches the Rfam family "Bacterial large subunit ribosomal RNA", at positions 170 to 1980 of the family's 2925-position model. The record is from RNAcentral.